This 90-nucleotide transfer RNA is filed under the name bacterium. RNAcentral's name for it is "tRNA-Ser". It matches the Rfam family "tRNA". Rfam says of the family: Transfer RNA (tRNA) molecules are approximately 80 nucleotides in length. Their secondary structure includes four short double-helical elements and three loops (D, anti-codon, and T loops). Further hydrogen bonds mediate the characteristic L-shaped molecular structure. tRNAs have two regions of fundamental functional importance: the anti-codon, which is responsible for specific mRNA codon recognition, and the 3' end, to which the tRNAs corresponding amino acid is attached (by aminoacyl-tRNA synthetases). tRNAs cope with the degeneracy of the genetic code in two manners: having more than one tRNA (with a specific anti-codon) for a particular amino acid; and 'wobble' base-pairing, i.e. permitting non-standard base-pairing at the 3rd anti-codon position. The record is from RNAcentral. RNAcentral also lists the same sequence under 1 other name.
GGUGAGGUGUCAGAGCGGCUUAAUGAGCUAGUUUCGAAAACUAGAGUGUGGGCAACUGCACCGGGGGUUCAAAUCCCUCCCUCACCGCCA